This is a long non-coding RNA of Amphiprion ocellaris (clown anemonefish), 4400 nucleotides long. The record is from Ensembl. NCBI's taxonomy places the organism in Eukaryota, Metazoa, Chordata, Actinopteri, Pomacentridae.
GGCGGAACGUUCGGGCGGCUGAGGCGGGGGGGUGGAGGUGGUGGGGAGGAAAAAACAACAAGCACCGCUCCAGUCAGCAAACAUCCAUGAGCGGUGGUGAUGCGAACACGGAUACGAGGCUCCAGCAGCACCGCAGUCCGCAGGAAACACGGAGGUAACGGGGAGUUGUCAAGAUACCACCGGGCACAACGGAAAACGCGUUCACUGGCGGGAAUUUACCGCUGAGGCGUCGAAUGGAUGAUGAGGAGGAGGACAUGUCACGGCCCAUCUCGCAGCCCCGGGGAACGUCCUUUGGGGACGUCAAAUUCGAAGACCGCGCCACACAGAUCGCAGCUGGACAGGCCCUCGCUGCCGUCACUGCCGCUGUGUCCACGUCGCAGAGCCACAACAACAACAGCAUCAACGCGCUGCCCUGCGGCUUACAUCGGCAGCCUCACAUACCCUUUCACGGCAACGCUGGGUUGCGCUCACAUUUUCCUGCUCAGUUUGAGCCCAUGGAGGACCGGGGAGAGAGGGAGGUUGAAGAGGAGGAGGAAGAGGGCAGAGGGGAAGACAAUGACAGAAUGGCGGAGAGGCCCGAGGAGCAGGUGGGGGUGAGCGUGGAGGCGCAGAUUGGUCGUAAACUUCGGGAGAUUGGAGACAAGUUUCACCAGGAUCACGUUGAACUGUUUAUGAGGCAUCAGAGACAAAACCUGCCUGUCUGGAUGCGCCUUACGAUGGCCCUGUUUGGCUUUUUUUUUCCAAGAGAGGCCCUCGUCCCCCGUCUGAGAGGAGCGCAGAGAUGAAGGGACUUCCUGCCGGCCCUUUGCCUCGGAAUCGGACUUUAAGAGAUGGCACUGUAAGAUGGAACACGGGUUUGGAUUUUGUUUUCUAUUAUCUAUGAAGAUGAGAUGAAGAAGACACUGGUCACCGCUGGACGGAGACAGAUUACAAAUUUUUUCUUUUGUUUGUUUUGUUUUAACUUUUUUGUUGUUUUUUUUCUGCCUCUCAAAGAAGAAGCCAUUGUGUUUGAAGAGAUAUUUUCGAAAUAUUUGUAAGAUUACCUAUUUUGUACAGUAAACUGGUCUUUUUAUUUGGUAUUUCAAGUCUUGAAGGACCUCCAUCAGUCCGGGGAAUGCCUUAUUCUCUCCUGCCACAGUACAUACUCUUUUUGCAUCAAGAAAAAUCGUUAGGAAAGAGAUCGGUUUUAAGAUUGGGCCCUUCUUUGGGUGACAGACUGUGGACAUUUUUGUGCAGAAGUUACUGAGUUAAAACCUUGAGGACUCGAGGCACACUUCUAAUUUAUUCUCUGAAAUACAAUAAGCCCUGUACUUAUCCUUUAAUGCUCCACACUGGCUAAUUCAAACAUGGUUGUCGUGACAUUGUGGCGGUGUAAGAACACACCGUCGGUCGGUCUAGAUUCGUGUUUUUUUCAGCUUCCACUGUAGACACGAGGACGUUACAUCUUUUACAGCGUCACCCAUCAGCAUCUCCGUCUCCAGAACCACUCAUGUUGUUAGAGGUGACCUUCCGACCCGCUGCGUACAUUCAGACGCCGUUGAUUUAAAGCAUGUAUACUUGAAUUUAGGUGUGCUGAAGAUACUCAGACCCGACGUCGUGAUUUCAGUUCGUGGGCCACGUGUUCGUCUGUUUGCAAAUCUCUGCAUUCACUUUGAAACCAAAUGAGCACAAAGUUGAACAAAUCUCACCUCGUGGGAUUUACAAUCAGGGAACUGGAAACAAUCAGACAGCUGAGAAGCUUUGGAGAAACGUCAUCACUUUCCAAAGAGUUCCAGGAUUUAUUCCUCUGGCUGAGUUGACAAUCGCAGUUGUAUUUGUUUGUUUGUUUGUUUUUGCCCCCUGCUGCAUUGUGGGUCGCCUGUGAAUGAGAUGACGUCGGCAUUUUAAGGGGUGAGCAAUAUUCAAGCCAGUGGAAGGAGACAUUUCCCAGAAUAUUACCAACGUAGUACACCACAAUUUACACAUUUUUUCUUUGUUACAGAAACGUUUUGGGGUCACAGAGAUGCAUUUUUAUUUUAUUUCACUCCAGGUGUAAAUGUCUGAAGCACUGAUUUGGACCCUGAUGUGCUCAAACGCGUGAGACGUCUCAAACCGCCGGUGGUACAUUCUGCUCCACUUUAGUCAGGACAGCUUCUGUACAGUUUAAAACCCGUUUUUUAUUCACACACCGACACGUCUGGUCACACGUGAAGUGUGACGACAUAGCCACUGUUCCUAAAUGUAAAGUCUUUAAGGACUUCAUAUGAUGUUAAAAAAUUCCUCAUUUGAUGUAUUAUUUCAGUCUGUUGUAGAUUCAUGAUAUGAACUUUGGAAGACACUGAUGGUUUUUUUUUCUGCUUUUAUGUUUUCUUCAGGGAGUAGUUAAUAACCGCAGUAAUUAUCCGACAUUUACUCAUGAGCAGGAUUUGAUAAAAACAUCUGCUUUAGUCUCUCAUUCAUGCGGUAGACGACGCAGACGUUUCAUUCGACUUUUUACAUUUUCCAAAGCAUUUUCACUCGACGUUGCCAUGGUAGUGUGUUACAGAUUGUCAGGGUUUUUUUUGCUUUUUUUUUUUUAAACUACAGGAGUAGCCAAACCAAAAGUUUGUUUCCUGCAAACACUGAACGCUGAGCCAAUUCAGAUAGUUGUGACACACUCUCUCAUCUCCGCUCCAAAAGCUUCUUCGUCACGUUUUAACUACUCCCUGUUUCUUAACAAGAAGGAGUUUUUGGUUUUCUUUGAGAUAAUUUAUUCUAAUUUAUUUUGUGUAUAUUUGCCCAGUGCUACUGUAUAGAUGCUAUCUCAGUGUGUACAGUCCUUUUCUUCUCAUUGUCGAGGUGCAUUGGGUUGCGUGUUUGAUGCCUGUGUGUGGGGAGGUUGGACUAAAGCCAUGUGCCUCGUGCGUUCUCACACGAAUGCUGUGAGUCUUUUACAAAUCACGUGGAGAAAAAACAAAACAGACAAUCAAAUGUACAAAACGUGCCUUGUGAGUAACAGACCUGCCACAUCAUCAUCAUAAACACUUGGCAUAAUUACCCCAAAGUCACUGGUCACUGCUCUCGUUUCACUCGGGCUCUGUGAGAUCAAUACACACACACACACAAAAAAAAGAAUCUUUUUGAUUUCUCACAUCAGCUCACGAGGCACAGGCUCAACCUUUGACAUCUCUCAGCACGAACGGCGAGUUUCACCAUGCAAAACCUUCUCUUCAAUAUCAGAAACGACUGUUUGCAACGUGCACUGUAAAAAACAAACUAUUUUUUAUCUGUAUACUGUAUUUUGCGCCUCUCUCUUUCUACUCCUGUGCUGAACUUCCCCUCUAGAUUCUUGAAACCUUUUUAAGAUCUGUAAUAUGCUGGAUCGGCCCGGCUCGUCUGGGUUUUUGUGCUUUAUUAUCUACAAUCUAGCAGGGCUGCGGGUUUACGUUUGAAGGAGGAAUGAGCCACCACGGUGCCCAGUAUUAUUUGAGAUGGGUUGAACAGCCACUCAGCCGGUGUGGUGUUGAUCUGAGCCUGCCGUUACCAACCACUGUUGCAACCUUGACUCAAGUGAAAACAUUUGUUCUACGUUCAACCUUCAGUGUCUUUGCUAUCAAAUUUUUUCAAUCGGUUUUUGAAUAUCCAAGAAAAGAGUGCAUCUUUACUGUCAAGUGCUGUGAUUUGGUGUUUUUUAUACAUUAGACAUGAAUUUGACACAGCUGUCGUUGCUAUCUUUAUAAGAAAACCUUUUAGCAAAAUUUUUUCCAUACCUUUUUGUAAGAAGACGAUGACGAACGAACUACAACAACAUGACUUUUUUGCUUUUUCUAUGAUUGCGUUUUCUUUUUCAAUGUUGUGGCAUUGUUUUUUUUAAAUUUUGGAUAUUGCCAAGUCUGCUGUGUCACUCUCAGUUCAAGGGCUUUUUUCAAUAUAUGUAAAUGGAGUAAAAAUGCAUGUCCAACAUUCCUGAAAAAAAUCUGUAUCCUAAGGAUUUGAAUGUAAUUUAAUGGAGUGAAAAACCACAAUAUCUCUUUUAAUACGUGAAAUGAAACAGUGGAACUUAUUUCAGACGUUGCUUUCUUUGCGUUCAGAGUGGUCUCAAGGAUUUCACAUUCAUGUGUCCUAUGAAGUGAGACCCAGUCCAGAUGUAGCAGUUUUUUGAUAAAGCAUUGACUGUGUUAUCUUUGGGACUGCUCUGUUUCUCCUGCACAGUCUUCAGACGGUGCAGGACGUUGGAGCGAUGGAGGGGUUUGGACGAGGACCGGGAGGGAUGUUUGUUCUUUUUCUAGUGCAAUAUGCUGUACAUAAGAGCUUGGCUCACAAAAAUCUUACAAUUUCUCUUAAUUUUUUUUGUUGUUAAAUGGGUACAUUGCUGUUUUUUUUUUUUUUUGUUUUUUUUCAUUAAAACUUUAUGGACAAUUCAUACGGGUUGUGCUUUGUUU